UUAAUCCUCCCCCUCCAAGAACAACCACCAUCGUUGAUUGAUUUGAAAAGGAACCCGUGUUGGGUUUUGAGCAUUCUAACACUUCCUAAGUGUACAUGCAACCCUAAAUACCUUGGAUCUAUGUUUUCUCUAUUAUACAUGCAAAUAAGAACAUCCAAGGUAUUAUCCUAAUCUAGCAUACAAAAACUAUGAAUGUAACAAGAUAGAAUACAUACCUUUUGAUGUAGCUUGAAAGCCUCAAGUGGAAUCACAAAUCACCAAGACACCUUGGAAUACUUUAGAGAAUAUGAUUACUUGGUUCUCUCUAGUGAAAUUGGCUAGCCCUCAUAGUGUAUCCACACACUAGUGCCUAUUUCACCAACCAAAGACAUCUUUAUAUAGUAUGGAGGAUUAGGGUUAAACCCUAAUACCCAUGACCUUUCAUUUCCUAGGAUCCAUGGGUUAAACACUCCAUGGACUAUCCAUGAAAGCUUAGCCCAACCUAAAUGAACUUGGCCCAUUCCAUAUAUAUAAGAGUCCAUAUUUAAUUAGUUCCUUUUGAUCACUUAAUUAAUUAUAAAUUAAUUCUUGAUCAAUACUAAUUAAAUAAUAUGAUUCCAUAUUAAUAUAUUAGAACUUAUAAUAUAUUAAUAUUAAUCAUAAACAUACUAUUCUCAAAAGAUUAUCCAUAUAAAUUGUGUCGGUGAAGUGCAACCCAAAUGGACCAUGCCGGGUCGGGUCAAGUACAUACCAAAUAUAGUUAUGGACUUAGACAUUAAUCCAACAGUCUCCCACUUGGAUAAGUCUAAAACUAUUAUUGCGUAUGACUUCAAACCUAACUGGCAAUCGUAGCUCUUAAAGCUGCUGUCGAACUCUGAUCUUGUCAACGAACUUGUCCAUUAGAUAAGGGAUCAUAUAUUCCUCCAUUCUAGAUAUCAUAUGGACUGAGACAUGGAUUAUAAUCAUUCUCUCUGUCCAUUUGUUGUUUCCCGAUUUCCGAUUUAUGACGACUGACUAAUUGAACAAAUCAAAUCAGUCCUGGCCCGGCCGAGCACUUCCAUUUGUCAUCAUCAAAUCAUCGAGGGGCCCACAGAUAUCGCUUUUAUCCCGAAGGUAAAAGGAAUGGAUAAACUUCGACUCAUAUGGCUUGUUCUACUACUUGUUGAAUCAUACACAAAGGCACGUUUUAUAGCACCGAGUUACCAAAUGCGUUUUCGUGCAAUCAAUGUACAACCAACUCAUAGUAACAACUCAUAUCUCUAGGUUUGAAGAAUAUAAGAUAUUAUCGUCUCAUGAUCACUCGUGAUAAAAUCCAUGAAGUGAUUCCAAUGAGCGCGGGUUGAAUCCAAUACUCAGAACUUAUGAGCACUCAUGAGUGUUGUAGCCCUUUGUCCAACACCUUAGACCUCUACAAGCCAACCCAUGACAGUCUUAAUUCAUAUCUACUUCCAACAUAUGACCGACUGUGGAUGGUUUGAAUAACUUAGUCAUUCCGGAAGAAUAACCUAGUUUAUUCGGGAAGUCAAAACAUGCAAAGUGAAACACAAUAAUAAUUGAAUCCAAUAUGGUAUCAAAUCUUUGAACAUAAAUAAAACACCUUUUAUUUAUCACCAUAUGAUUACACAUUAUUCAUUGUAUACUGUUUCAGCUAUCAACUUUAUUCUUGAAUUUAAAACAAUAGUUGUCCCAUGCUCCAAGCAUGUACACUAUGUUUUCUUAAACACUAGUCAUGCCACACACCAAGUAUGCAUACUAUGUUUGUCUAUGAUCUUUACUUUGUGAACUAGAUCAAUUGAACAUAACUUCAAUGAUUCUCUUUUCACACUCCCAAAUCCUUACUGCAAAUGCAAGAAUUCCAAAUUCAUGCCAUUUACUGAAAUCUGUUAGAUUCUAAACUUAUAUGCAUUGAUCCUCUUGUAAUGAUUAUGCACAAAGUCAGAAAGACUUGACAACAAUCAUUACAGAGUAUUCCAAAGGAGAUCAGCUCCUUGGAAACAUCCUUCUUGCAUUAAGUUUCCUAAUCUUAAACAGAUUGAAAAUUCUAACUUUGAAACAUUUCCAGAUUCCAUUUUGACUAUCACUUCUGAACAAGAGUUGCCUCCUUACAGAUUAUGUCAAUAUGGUCCUUCCAGAAUUAUCACUAUACUUCCAACUGUCCUUGAGCAACCAAUCUUUGGUAAACCUUAGAUUGUCCUCGACAAUUGUUUAAUCCUUUUAGUCAUAUCCAGUUCUAAACCUUUUCCCUUCUUAAUGCCCCAGGCAUUUGGAAAAUUUUAGAACGGAUGAAUAUAGCACAUGUAAUCGAUCCUAUAUCCGAAGCAUAUGGGACACGAUUCAUGAUGUCUUACAUAAAGACUAAACCAGUCUUUUGCUAUAAUAUUUCCAUUUCAAUUUGCCAAGUUCUCAUAAUUCAGAUUAUGAAAAGGGAUGCCGUAAUCAUAAUCGAAUUUUAGAACGCAAAUAAUGGACCCAUAUACAGAAUUUCCUUAUGUUGAGCCAUUCCAACAUGAAAUUCAUAUAUAUCCUUGACUAAAUGAUUAAAACCUCACGAUCUAAGCUUAUAGAUUUGAGAUGAAGUAUAAUUUCCUCUCCCUUAAUUAUAGCAAAACAACUUUUUCCCAAUUGAAACUUUUGUUUUCUAUAAUUAACAUUGCUAACUUGCAAUACUUAUCAUAAUUAUCAUGCUCCCACUAACAUGAUGAUUAUUAGCAUAACACUUAUGCUCCCACUAGCUUUGACAUGUACUCAGAAAUCAGCUGGACUUCUAGAAAUCAAUACUUCAUUGACUUUCUUACCAAAGUUCAGAUUUCUGAUGCUAGAUUGUUUUGAUAAAACUUUAUCAAAAUCAUACACCUUCCCUUAGAUAGCACACUUGUGUGUCUAAACAAUUAUGAAGAGGUAUGCCGUAAUCAUAAUGGUUAGACCUUUUUGCCACUUCUCACAAGUCCAGGUUAGUGUGCCGGUUAACCACACGCGCUCCACUAACGACUUUGAGAAUGCAAAUAUCACAAUUGCUAUCUAGAUAAAAUCUACUUAGUGAAAGUGUUUCCUCACCAUCAUUUUCAUGAAUCGGAGAGAAACCUUAUGACACUUAGAUUUAUAUGGUGUAUGAGUUCCUACCCAUAUGAAUUUGUCAAACCAUAAUCACAAGACAAAGAUAAUGACAAAUCCAAAACCAUAUGGAUUGAACUCAAUCUUAACUUCUUGCCACCUGGCAGCUCAAGGGCCUGCCAUUGCUUCCAAGUUGUUAUGCAACAAACUGAGAACUCUAAGAACUCAUAUGCAAAGCCAACUUUAACUGGAAUGGGCACAGAUAUGUCAACACGAUAGGUUAUAAACCUCAAGUCGUGUGCUAGUGAAGAACUUCAGGUUUUAUUCUUGAUUAGUUCUUGAGACUUUCAAGACCUUUAAGACUCCCACUGUCCUCUUGACAUAUAAGACUCCCUUGUCAAACAUCCAAGAGAUAGUGCGGAUUCUAAUCAAGAAAAACACUUUACCCAAUUGGCCUAAGUUGGUCUUUGUUUUAUCCAAAACAUCACAACUUACCAAUUUCAAAUGUACAAGAGUAGAAAACUUUUACUCUUACAUUUGACAAGUGUUUUAAACCUUCUUUAAGACAUGUCACUCAAAUGACAAUCUUGGAGUAUGACUCUAAGACUUGUAUUGGAACGAAGUAUGACUCAUCUUCUUGAUUUAACCAUUUCAACAAUUCAAGUUCCUCUUCUUAGUCAUAAGAAUGCACUAAGAUUUCCUUAGAGAACUAAUUUUGAUAUGGUUUCUUAAUCAUUAAGAUGAUCACAAAACUGAUACUAAAGUACUCUCCCAUCUUUUCAGAUUUGAGAAACUUUUAUCCUUCUGCCUUAUUUGAUUCUUCUUAUCGAUCUUUAGUGGUGGACUUAAUCAGUGCACAAGAAUGUGUACUCGAUCCCUAAGUCCUUUACUUGACUCACACAUCCAUGUGAACAAGUAAUUAGUCUUAAUUUUCCAAAACUUGAAAGUUCUCAUUCAUCAUGCUAUACAACUUGCAUGAUUCCAAGUUCCGGUCCAAUUGAAACUUGGGUGAUGAGAAUCUUUCCUUAUUUGGUAAAUUUAGACAUUACCACAAAUGAAAGAAUCAAUUUCAUACUUCCACUCUUGCUACUAAUGGAAUCUUAUAAGCAACAAAAAUUUCCACAGAUGCCAUUGUAAGGAUAUUUUAAAAUAAAUAAAAUCAAAAAUUUCCUUUUAUUUUAAAACUUUGCGGAAAAACUAUCCUUACAAUCCAUAUGAAAACUUGUUGUUAUCUAUUCCUAAGCAAUAUCUCAUAACUCCUAAGAAGUAGCUCAAGAAUCCGAUUUUUCAAACUAUGCGAUAGAAAUCCAUCUAUGCGAUCAGAUUCAGCAUAUUCUUCCUUUAAGUUUCUUCACUUUCCUUUGAUUCUUAAACCAUCACCAUGCGACCCGGUCACAUCAUGUAUCAAGAAUCUCAGAAUAGAAACUUAACAGAGUUAGAUAGUGGAUUUUACCUGAAGUAGAGUCAAACUUAUUGACUUUAACAUCCUUAGGUAAAUUUGGCAGCUUCGCAACCAAUGCCCUUUCUUUGGCAAUACAAACAUAUGGACCCUUUGAUAAUGGUACACAGGACUAUCACAGACUUAGCUUUUCUCUUUACCAUUUGGUCAACCGAGUUGACUAUAGCCGAUCCCUUUCCAUUGGGAAGAGAAUGCUUUACUGGAUAUCCAAUGUCAUCAUUGUCAAUGUCCAUAAAGUUUUAGGAAGUUGAUCUUAACAAAUAGAUAAGAUCAUUAAGGGUCUUGUCAUAGUCUUUUUCAUAGGUGUUCCAAAAGAACUCACUAUGUGACUUAGAAAGUAGUUGAACCACCAACUUUCUCAAGACUUUGACACCCAACUCUCCCGGCUUGUCAAUAUGUGACUACAUCUCCAAGAUGUGACCACACCUAGACCUUGCCUUGCCAAAAGGGCCUGAGUGACCUUAAACUUUUCAAGAACUUGUGGGUUAGGGAGAAUAAUUUGAAGAGGUGAAGAAGUAUGAUAUCCAUGGGACAUCAUCUUCAUUAGGAAACCUUGUUUCAAGAGAUUUGGGAAGAUCAUAGGUGUCUAAACCAGACAUCUUUUGGGAGAUAUUCAAGAUAGUUGAUUUAAAGUCCUUAAUAUGACACCCAAUAUGAAAUAUUAAGGCUAGGACCCAACAAACUAUUUUAUAACUUAGAAGAGGUAUGCCGUAAUCCAAGCUAUAAAAUAUUUGAAGGUAGGUGAAUGACGAUUCACCAAUUUCCACCAAGAUAAACGAAAUGUAUUAUUAGGUUUUAAUUGGUUUUGAAACUCCUAGAUCUUUGAGAUUCAUUGAACUUUUCAAAGGCAUGUUUCAAUCUCGAGUGUGCCCUUCAGGUUUUGUGACUGGGAUGCCGAGGAUCACAAAACAAGGUGUGAAGUAACCAUGCAAAUCACUUGGUACCCUUAAUAAAUUACCCCUCAAUCGAUGUGCCGGUUAACCACACACGCUCCAUCGAUACUAUGAUAAAUAUUAAGUCACCCUUUACCUACCUUGUUAAGUCCAAGUUAGUGUGCCGGUUAACCACACACGCUCCACUAACGACUUAGACAAAGUGUAAAGUGUAAUUUCAUGGAUUAGCACCUUAUUCACAUUUUUCCUAAGUAACUAAGAUUGGGUAUUAUUAAGAGUUUAGUUACUUAGUAUUAUCAUUAAUACUUUUAAUGAAGGGAGAAUUCUAGUCCUGUCAAACCCGUUCGGCUAACGACCCUCCACCAGUCAAGCAAGCGGUGGGUGAGAGUGGACACCCAUUAAGUUGCCAUUUUAUAGGCAACAACCUUAUACCCACCUUAUAGACCGGCUUCGUGAAUGAGGCGUACUAGCGGUAAGACUGACUUUACUCUUAUACAUAUAUAUAUUAUUAACUUAUAAUAUUAUAAAGUAUAAGGGUUGAAUUUUAACUUUUAAAAUUCUAAGGGCUAACUUGGAAUUAAAGUAUUCAUAAGUGAAAACUUUACAAAUUCCAAAACUUGAGGGCAAGUUUUGAAACUAUUCAAAACUAAUUAAUUCCAUAACUUAUGUGUUUAAAGUAGUUUUAAUCCAAAAACUCUUCAAGUUCCAUAACUUGAGGACAAGUUAUGGAAGACUUUAAACUAAUAAAAGAAUUAACUUUUCUUUAUUUUAUAACUUAUGGAAUUAAUUAAGGUUACACUUUUUUUUUUUUUAUUUUAUUUUAUUAAAUGAAGAGACUCUUGGUCCUCCAUAACUUGAGGACAAGUUAUGGAGUCAUAAAACCAUUUAAUUAGAACUAGACUCUUCAUUUUUGUAACCUUUGCCAAUUUUUAUGAGUUUUAUGAUUCUUAAAUGUGACUUUUCAUAUAACUUGAGGACAAGUUACAAAAACACAUUUUAGAAUCAAUUCUUAGAUUAAUUUGGAUUAAAACCAACUAUCACAUAAUUUUAUUCAUUAAUCUAAAUUCACUCAUAAAACAAGGUAACACAAAAAACUUUUGGUGAUCCAUAACUUAUUCUUAAGUUAUGGAAUCCUUUAAAACAUUAACACCAAAUUUUGUAACUCCAAAAAAACUUUGAAUCAAUUUUUUUUUUAAAACCUUUUCAUAUCCAUAACUUAUGGAGGUUUCAAAAAAUAAAACUCUUUAGAUCAAACUUUUAAAACUAAUAAAAUAAUCAUAUUAUUUUAUCUUUUAUUAAAUUUGACCUAAUUCAACUCAUAAAGCAAAUUAUUCAAAUUUUACAAAUAAUUAGUUUUUCACAAGAACAAGUAAUUAUCUUAAAAUUUGACAAACUUCAUGUUUUUUUUUUUUUUUUUUUUCAACUUUGAAAAUAAAAUAUUUGCAUCAAUAUAACAGAAAACAACCCGUGGCUCUGAUACCACUGUUGGGUUUUGAGCAUUCUAACACUUCCUAAGUGUACAUGCAACCCUAAAUACCUUGGAUCUAUGUUUUCUCUAUUAUACAUGCAAAUAAGAACAUCCAAGGUAUUAUCCUAAUCUAGCAUACAAAAACUAUGAAUGUAACAAGAUAGAAUACAUACCUUUUGAUGUAGCUUGAUGUCUUUAAGCUUUAAGAGCUUAGCCCCAAUAGUGUGGAAGCCUCAAGUGGAAUCACAAAUCACCAAGACACCUUGGAAUACUUUAGAGAAUAUGAUUACUUGGUUCUCUCUAGUGAA
RNAcentral lists this long non-coding RNA (7158 nucleotides) under Lactuca sativa (garden lettuce). RNAcentral describes it as "long non-coding RNA (LSAT_LNC008278)". The record is from RNAcentral. Lineage: Eukaryota; Viridiplantae; Streptophyta; Magnoliopsida; Asterales; Asteraceae.